RNAcentral lists this unclassified non-coding RNA (245 nucleotides) under fungal sp. Its description in RNAcentral is "partial contains 5.8S ribosomal RNA, internal transcribed spacer 2, and large subunit ribosomal RNA". The record is from RNAcentral. Lineage: Eukaryota; Fungi.
CGCACAUUGCGCCCGCCAGUAUUCUGACGGGCAUGCCUGUUUGAGCGUCAUUUCAACCCUCAAGCUCUGCUUGGUGUUGGGGAUCAGCUAGUUGAUAGCUGGCCCUGAAAUUUAGUGGCGGUCUCGCUGUAGCUUCCUCUGCGUAGUAGCAUACCUCGCUCUGGAAAACAGCGCGGCUCAGCCGUAAAACCCCCCACUUUCUGAAGGUUGACCUCAAAUCAGGUAGGAAUACCCGCUGAACUUAA